This 520-nucleotide ribosomal RNA is filed under the name uncultured Glomus. RNAcentral's name for it is "SSU rRNA". It matches the Rfam family "Eukaryotic small subunit ribosomal RNA", at positions 569 to 1091 of the family's 1831-position model. The record is from RNAcentral. Lineage: Eukaryota; Fungi; Glomeromycota; Glomeromycetes; Glomerales; Glomeraceae.
AGCAGCCGCGGUAAUUCCAGCUCCAAUAGCGUAUAUUAAAGUUGUUGCAGUUAAAAAGCUCGUAGUUGAAUUUCGGGGUUAGUAGGUUGGUCAUGCCUCUGGUAUGUACUGGUCUCACUGAUUCCUCCUUCCUGAUGAACCGUAAUGCCAUUAAUUUGGUGUUGUGGGGAAUUUGGACUGUUACUUUGAAAAAUUAGAGUGUUUAAAGCAAGCUAACGCUUGAAUACAUUAGCAUGGAAUAAUGAAAUAGGACGUUCGAUCCUAUUUUGUUGGUUUCUAGGAUUGACGUAAUGAUUAAUAGGGAUAGUUGGGGGCAUUAGUAUUCAAUUGUCAGAGGUGAAAUUCUUGGAUUUAUUGAAGACUAACUACUGCGAAAGCAUUUGCCAAGGAUGUUUUCAUUAAUCAAGAACGAAAGUUAGGGGAUCGAAGACGAUCAGAUACCGUCGUAGUCUUAACCAUAAACUAUGCCGACUAGGGAUCGGAUGAUGUUAAUUUUUAAUGACUCAUUCGGCGUCCUUAC